GCAGUGGGGAAUAUUGCGCAAUGGGGGCAACCCUGACGCAGCGAUGCCGCGUGAGUGAAGAAGGCCUUCGGGUUGUAAAGCUCUUUCAGUGGGGACGAUUGUGACGGUACCCACAGAAGAAGCUCCGGCUAACUCCGUGCCAGCAGCCGCGGUAAUACGGAGGGGGCGAGCGUUGUUCGGAAUUACUGGGCGUAAAGGGCGCGUAGGCGGUUUGGCAAGUCAGGAGUGAAAUCCCAGAGCUUAACUCUGGAAUGGCUCUUGAAACUGCUUUACUGGAGUCCGGCAGAGGAUGGUGGAAUUCCCCGUGUAGAGGUGAAAUUCGUAGAUAUGGGGAGGAAGACCAGAGGCGAAGGCGGCCAUCUGGACCGGUACUGACGCUGAGGCGCGAAAGCGUGGGGAGCGAACAGGAUUAGAUACCCUGGUAGUCCACGCUGUAAACGAUGAGUGCUGGUUGUCGCGGGUAUCGACCCCUGCGGCAACGUAAGUUAACGCGUUAAGCACUCCGGCCUGGGUGAGUACGGCUCGCAAGGCUAAAAC
RNAcentral lists this ribosomal RNA (537 nucleotides) under uncultured bacterium. RNAcentral describes it as "bacterial SSU rRNA". It matches the Rfam family "Bacterial small subunit ribosomal RNA", at positions 351 to 900 of the family's 1533-position model. The record is from RNAcentral.